Molecule: ribosomal RNA, 497 nt
Filed under: uncultured bacterium
Lineage: Bacteria
Description: partial 16S ribosomal RNA
Rfam family: Bacterial small subunit ribosomal RNA
Source: RNAcentral
GAUGAACGCUGGCGGCGUGCCUAAUACAUGCAAGUCGAGCGAACAGAUGAGGAGCUUGCUCCUCUGACGUUAGUGGCGGACGGGUGAGUAACACGUGGAUAACCUACCUAUAAGACUGGGAUAACUUCGGGAAACCGGAGCUAAUACCGGAUAAUAUAUUGAACCGCAUGGCUCAAUAGUGAAAGACGGUUUUGCUGUCCUUCAUAGAUGGAUCCCCGCCGCAUUAGCUAGUUGGUAAGGUAACGGCUUACCAAGGCAACGAUGCGUAGCCGACCUGAGAGGGUGAUCGGCCACACUGGAACUGAGACACGGUCCAGACUCCUACGGGAGGCAGCAGUAGGGAAUCUUCCGCAAUGGGCGAAAGCCUGACGGAGCAACGCCGCGUGAGUGAUGAAGGUCUUCGGAUCGUAAAACUCUGUUAUUAGGGAAGAACAAAUGUGUAAGUAACUAUGCACGUCUUGACGGUACCUAAUCAGAAAGCCACGGCUAACUACGUG